AAAACACCCUCAAGGAUGGGCACUGCACAGACUAUAACAACAAGGAACGUGGCUUUGCAUCCUCCCAGCAACGAAGUCUACCACGGGUCCCACGCCACUCUGAUUUCGGCUCAGCCGAGAACUUGAAAUAACAAGCCCACUGCCUCUGCUCCACGAGGAUCCAUGCCAUCAUGGCACUUUGGGAGGCCUGUCACGAGUUACACAGGCCUAGGCUGCCCACGCCCCAGCUCAGCAGAAAAAGAGAAUUGCAAUCCAAGUCAGACAGAUCCUGCCUGGACUCUCCGCAGAGAGCCUGGAGAGUCUGACCAGCAAAGAAACAGCAAUCUUCCCACCUACCCCACUCUUAUUCCCCCACCCCAAUCCAGUCUUCUGAAGAAGAAAAACAAACAACAAAGCAGG
This 399-nucleotide non-coding RNA is filed under the name Pongo abelii (Sumatran orangutan). The record is from RNAcentral. Lineage: Eukaryota; Metazoa; Chordata; Mammalia; Primates; Hominidae.